RNAcentral lists this ribosomal RNA (253 nucleotides) under uncultured bacterium. RNAcentral describes it as "partial 16S ribosomal RNA". It matches the Rfam family "Bacterial small subunit ribosomal RNA", at positions 524 to 776 of the family's 1533-position model. The record is from RNAcentral.
UACGGAGGGAGCUAGCGUUGUUCGGAAUUACUGGGCGUAAAGCGCGCGUAGGCGGCUUUGUAAGUUAGAGGUGAAAGCCCGGAGCUCAACUCCGGAACUGCCUUUAAGACUGCAUCGCUUGAAUCCGGGAGAGGUGAGUGGAAUUCCGAGUGUAGAGGUGAAAUUCGUAGAUAUUCGGAAGAACACCAGUGGCGAAGGCGGCUUCCUGGCCUGCAACUGACGCUGAGACGCGAAAGCGUGGGGAGCGAACCGG